UUUUUAUUUUGCGGGACCUCAGAUCAGGUAGGGAUACCCGCUGAACUUAAGCAUAUCUUAAGCGGGGCAAAAAUGUC
This 77-nucleotide ribosomal RNA is filed under the name Terfezia claveryi. RNAcentral's name for it is "partial 28S ribosomal RNA". Lineage: Eukaryota; Fungi; Ascomycota; Pezizomycetes; Pezizales; Pezizaceae. The record is from RNAcentral.